AGAGGAUAGCUCAGUAGGUUAAGAUGUUUGUCUUGCAAGCAUGAGUUCCUGGGUUCCAUCCCCAGAACCUCUA
RNAcentral lists this transfer RNA (73 nucleotides) under Mesocricetus auratus (golden hamster). It matches the Rfam family "tRNA". Rfam says of the family: Transfer RNA (tRNA) molecules are approximately 80 nucleotides in length. Their secondary structure includes four short double-helical elements and three loops (D, anti-codon, and T loops). Further hydrogen bonds mediate the characteristic L-shaped molecular structure. tRNAs have two regions of fundamental functional importance: the anti-codon, which is responsible for specific mRNA codon recognition, and the 3' end, to which the tRNAs corresponding amino acid is attached (by aminoacyl-tRNA synthetases). tRNAs cope with the degeneracy of the genetic code in two manners: having more than one tRNA (with a specific anti-codon) for a particular amino acid; and 'wobble' base-pairing, i.e. permitting non-standard base-pairing at the 3rd anti-codon position. Lineage: Eukaryota; Metazoa; Chordata; Mammalia; Rodentia; Cricetidae. The record is from Rfam by way of RNAcentral.